ACACCCGCAGCUCGAGUGGUGGUCACUUUUAUUGAGCCUAAAGCGUUUGUAGCCGGAUCUGUAAAUCUCCAGGCAAAUUCCUUCGCUUAACGAAGGAUCUUCUGGAGAGACUGCAGAUCUAGGGACCGGGUGAGGUUGAAUGUACUUCCGGGGUAGGGGCUAAAUCCUGUAAUCCUGGAAGGACGACCGGUGGCGAAGGCGUUCAACUAGAACGGAUCCGACGGUGAGGAACGAGGGCUGGGGGAGCAAACCGGAUUAGAUACCCGGGUAGUCCUAGCUGUAAACACUGCCCACUUGAUGUUGCAUCUCCGAAGAGGGGGUGCAGUGUCGUAGCGAAGGUGUUAAGUGGGCCGCUUGGGGAGUAUGGUCGCAAGACUGAAACUUAAAGGAAUUGGCGGGGGAGCACCACAACGGGAGGAGCGUGCGGUUUAAUUGGAUUCAACGCCGGAAAGCUCACCAGGAGCGACCUUUGUAUGAGAGUCAGUUUGACGGGCUUACUCGAUAGAAGGAGAGGUGGUGCAUGGCCGUCGUCAGCUCGUACCGUAGGGCGUUCACUUAAGUGUGAUAACGAGCGAGACCCCCAUCUUUAAUUGCCAUCAUGUUCGAGAGAAUGUGGGCACUUUAGAGGGACCGCCAUCGCAGAGAUGGAGGAAGGAGGGGUCGACGGCAGGUCAGUACGCCCCGAAUCUCCUGGGCAACACGCGCGCUACAAAGGACAAGACAAUGGGCUGCGACCUCGAAAGGGGAAGCCAAUCUCGAAACUUGUUCGUAGUUAGGAUUGAGGGCUGUAACUCGCCCUCAUGAAUCUGGAUUCCGUAGUAAUCGCGGGUCAACAUCCCGCGGUGAAUAUGUCCCUGCUCCU
RNAcentral lists this ribosomal RNA (862 nucleotides) under uncultured archaeon. RNAcentral's name for it is "bacterial SSU rRNA". It matches the Rfam family "Archaeal small subunit ribosomal RNA", at positions 473 to 1337 of the family's 1478-position model. The record is from RNAcentral.